This 73-nucleotide transfer RNA is filed under the name Stylephorus chordatus (tube-eye). Its description in RNAcentral is "tRNA-Thr". It matches the Rfam family "tRNA". Rfam says of the family: Transfer RNA (tRNA) molecules are approximately 80 nucleotides in length. Lineage: Eukaryota; Metazoa; Chordata; Actinopteri; Stylephoriformes; Stylephoridae. The record is from RNAcentral.
GCCCUAGUAGCUCAGUUGCUAGAGCACCGGUCUUGUAAACCGGACGCCGGAGGUUAAAAUCCCCCCUAGUGCU